This is a long non-coding RNA of Neopsephotus bourkii (Bourke's parrot), 475 nucleotides long. RefSeq lists it as uncharacterized. Lineage: Eukaryota; Metazoa; Chordata; Aves; Psittaciformes; Psittacidae. The transcript has 2 exons. The record is from RefSeq and is a predicted model, not a curated record.
AAAUGAUUUUUUAAAUUUCUAAUCUCCAUUCCACCUUUCCAGCAUGGUGGCAUUGUUACACCCAGUUAAAUGAGGGCAUUGCUUACCUAUAUAUUGGAGAUUUUCUUUACCACAGUUUCUCUAGAAAUAGUUUCACCAGUUUUCAAUUUCUGCUUCUUUCCAUUUUAUGUAUCUAGCGGGAUUUCAAAAAUUAUUUUAAAGCAGCAGCAAAAAAUGUAACAGACGAAGCAGAUUUCUGCUUGUGUGUCAUCAAUUAAGCUAAGAAAGAAUAGUAUAACCAAGGCAUCUUUUCUACAGAUAAUUCUGAUUAUAAGAUGUAUUAAUAAGAAUAUUUAUUAAUAAGAAUAAGAUUUGUCUUAUGAUUAAAUUCCAUACUGUACACAGCUUUAAAAUUUAAAUAUUCUUAGCAUUCUCUUGCCAAAAUUUUCUUUCCAUUUGAGCAGAGCUUUAAUAGAUAAAAAUAUACGCACAUGUA